Fundulus heteroclitus (mummichog) is the source of this 451-nucleotide long non-coding RNA. RefSeq lists it as uncharacterized. NCBI's taxonomy places the organism in Eukaryota, Metazoa, Chordata, Actinopteri, Cyprinodontiformes, Fundulidae. The transcript has 3 exons. The record is from RefSeq and is a predicted model, not a curated record.
AAUUAGCCGGCUUUAACGAACGCUGGAGCUGCUAAAAUCUGCCCUGAAGCCUCUAAACGAGCUGACUCAGCGUUCAGCUCCUCCAGGAGGAGGUCAGAGUGAAAUGAGAGUAAAUGUCCUCCAGCGGCCGUCUGAGGCGCACCGACCACUUCAGGUUCAUCAUCAUUAACGCUCCCGCUGACAGAGGCUAACAGCUGGUGUCACAUCCUGUAAGGACGGAGGGCUGGAGACACCAGGAUGGGCUGUCAGCCCGUUUAAAGGAACCCCCCCCCCCCCCUCCCUGAAGGGUCCAGAGGCGCUGGUUAGAAACCCAUCUGGGCUCUGCAGGAACUUCAGCUCUAAACUCAGCUCAGCUUCAACGCUUCACUUUUCUCAAGAUGUUUGCUAAAGACAGGAAACCUGCUAGAAAAGGGUUUAUAAAUAAAAAUGUUGAACGUUUUCAGGUCUGACA